AAUGGCCUAACGGCUGAACCAGCAAUUUGGAAGAAUGUAUAGUGAAAGCUAUUAAGACUGAGAAUUUCUCAGCCUUAAUAUCGAUUUAUUCGAAUAAAAUUCUAAGUGAAAUUUGAUAAUGACAUUUUUUGCUUAUGAGUCUUGACUAAGUUACGUGCCAGCAGUCGCGGUAAUACGUAAGAGACAAGUGUUAUUCAUCUUCAAUAGGUUUAAAGGGUACCUAGACAGUAAACUAAGCUGUAAAAGGGACUAGUUUUCUAGAGUUACUUUCGAGGGAGCUAUAAGGUACUAUUGGUGUAGAGAUGAAAUUCUUUGAUACCCUUAUUCGAGAGAAUAGUAACAUGGCACAGACUAAGGCUAAAGCCUCUCCUUAUGAGAUAACUGACGUUGAGGGACGAAGGCUCCAAAUAAUCAAAAGGAUUAGGUACCCAAGUAGUUGGUAGCAGACAAUGAUGAGUGCUAUAGAUUAGAUAAAUUUUUGUCUAUAAGCGAUAGCGUAAGCACUCCACCUCAAGAGUAAUUUGGCAACAUUGGAACUGAAAUCAUUAGACCGUUUCUGAAACCAGUAGUGAAGUAUGUUAUUUAAUUUGAUAAUCCACAAAAAACCUUACCACAGUUUACUUAAUAGUGUAUAACUUUAAGUUGAGACACAUGAAUAUUUAUUUAUAAAUAAAUACAAGCGUUGCACGGCUGUCUUCAGUUAAUGUCGUGAGACCUUGGUUAGUUCCAUAAAAUUAACGUAAACCCUUACUCUAUUUUAAAUAUAGAGUCGUUCUCCACUAUAUUGGAUAAGAUAACAGGGACCAAGACAAGUCAUCAUGGCCUUCAUGCG
Molecule: ribosomal RNA, 832 nt
Filed under: Byssoloma vanderystii
Lineage: Eukaryota; Fungi; Ascomycota; Lecanoromycetes; Lecanorales; Pilocarpaceae
Description: SSU rRNA
Rfam family: Bacterial small subunit ribosomal RNA
Source: RNAcentral